CAAAGACGUGUCCCCAGGCUUGCUUUCAUUUUGACAAUGAGUCAAGAGGGGUGUAAUAUCCUCUUGAACUAAACAGAGAAUCCCUUCACUUGCAGAGAAACAUCACCUUCAUCAAAAAUCCAGCUGUACGAGACACCAUCCUGAACCUGACCCUGACGGCCCUUGCUCCUGAAUUUGAAGACUUUGAGCCUGAAGACUUUGAGCUGUGGUUCCAGGUCAAUUUGGCCACUGUGAUGGCCAGCCUCCAUCCUGGCAGCUUGGCAGUGAUCCCCAGCAACAUCAGCUGUGAAUCCUAUGCAGCUAUGUAAGCCAGGAUAUUUCUCAAGUCCAAAGUCAAACAAUACGUGUUUGCAUGAGGUCAAACUGUGAAUCCAGACGAGUCACAAAAAAUUGUGUUUUCUUCCCUCAGACUCACUGGUCUUCGAAAAAGCUUGAAAUCCCUGCCACUGGACAUUUCAGAUGGUCUGAGAUCGGGCAUAGAGUCAUUCAAGGAGACCUUCCCACGUUGCGCAGUUGCACAUUCCUUGAUGUGCCAGGAGACCCAGGUUGAUG
Molecule: long non-coding RNA, 552 nt
Organism: Scophthalmus maximus (turbot)
Lineage: Eukaryota; Metazoa; Chordata; Actinopteri; Pleuronectiformes; Scophthalmidae
Source: Ensembl